UCCCAUGUUCCCUCCCGUGUCCCCUUCCCGUGUCCCCUUCCUGUAUCUCCUUCCCAUGUCCCCUUCAUGUAUCUCCUUCUCAUGUCCCCUUCCCAUGUUCCCUUCCCGUGUCCCCCUCCUGUGUCCUCUUCCUGUAUCUCCUUCCCAUAUGCCCUUCCCGUGUCCCCCUCCUGUGUCCUCUUCCUGUGUCCCCCUCCUGUAUCCCCUUCCCGUGUCCCCUUCCCAUGUUCCCUUCCCAUGUUCCCUCCCGUGUCCCCUUCCCAUGACCCCUUCUCGUGUUCCCUUCCCGUGUCCCCCUCCUGUAUCCCCUUCCCAUGUCCCCUUCCCAUGUCCCCUUCCCAUGUUCCCUCCCGUGUCCCCUUCCUGUGUCCCCUUCCCAUGUCCCCUUCUCGUGUUCCCUUCCCGUGUCCCCUUCCCAUGUCCCCUUCCCGUGUCCCCUUCCCGUGUCCCCUUCCCGUGUCCCCCUCCCAUGUUCCCUUCCUGUAUCCCCUUCCCAUGUUCCCUCCCGUGUCCCCUUCCCAUGUCCCCUUCCUGUAUCUCCUUCCUGUGUCCCCUUCCCAUGUUCCCUUCCCGUAUGCCCUUCCCGUGUCCCCCUCCUGUGUCCUCUUCCUGUGUCCCCUUUCCGUGUCUCAUUCCCGUGUCCCCUUCCCAUGUUCCCUUCCCAUGUUCCCUCCCAUGUUCCCUUCCCAUGUUCCCUUCCCAUGUUCCCUUCCCUUGUCCCCUUCCCGUGUCCCCUUCCCAUGUUCCCUUCCCAUGUCCCCUUCCCGUGUCUCCUUCC
Molecule: long non-coding RNA, 778 nt
Filed under: Numida meleagris (helmeted guineafowl)
Lineage: Eukaryota; Metazoa; Chordata; Aves; Galliformes; Numididae
Description: lncRNA (ENSNMEG00000001039.1)
Source: RNAcentral